This is a long non-coding RNA of Pungitius pungitius (ninespine stickleback), 1151 nucleotides long. RefSeq lists it as uncharacterized. The transcript has 3 exons. The record is from RefSeq and is a predicted model, not a curated record. NCBI's taxonomy places the organism in Eukaryota, Metazoa, Chordata, Actinopteri, Perciformes, Gasterosteidae.
ACAAAUUACUAAACUGUAAACAGUUAAUAUAAGAGAAAAAAAUAUUGUAAUCAAGAUAAAUGUUUUCAAAACGUGUGAUUAACUAGUCAAUUGUCUAUAAUCUGUUGACAGCCAUAAUCGUAUUCUGAUAAUACACGUUGGUGCUCAAAUAUUUUCAGAUGGCCCGUGCAAAGUCAUGCCACCAGUCUGAGGACAUCACUGGGAAUGGCACAUGGGACACGUGGCUUUCAACUCCAGCGAGGUGGGCUUCACCGCGGGCAAUCGUGGCAAAGACCCAAGUCGACUGGACCACAGCGGAAAAUGAUCCUUCCAGAGAAGAAGUUAUUUACUUCUACAACGAAUGGAAGAGUUACAACUUCCAGAUGACAGCUCUCCGCUCAUCCUUCUGGGCAACUUGAACAUCCGACAGAACUUAUGUGACCUACUGCGUUUAUUUUCUCCUUUAGCUCUCAUUUAAGUAUUAAAAUUCGCUGUAUUUUUGCAAGAGAGGCACCAAUCCUAUUUGAGUGACGUUUCGAAUGUGAAAUUGUAUUGGACCAUAUAGGUCAUCUGCAGAGCGUUGGCCCCUGGCGCAGUAAACCAGGGUUUGAUUCUUGGCAUGCACAAGACUCCUCAUGUGACUUAAAAUGAAUCCAGAAUGCAAUAUUUGUUCAGUAUGCAAGGGCAGUGAUUUAUUUAGUCAUGUUUGGUCAUGUUUUGGUUUUUUUACAUGACAAUAUGGUUUGGUACAUGCUGAGUUAAUGAAUAUACAUUCUAAAGUGCAAUGUCCAUAUGUGAAUAAGAGUUGUAUACGUUUAUCAUAGUCAACAUGGUGUGGAAAUAUCCCUUAUGUAGUUGGUCAAUAGGAACUAUAGUAGGCAGUAAUAACAGCUAAGGUAAUUACAGGUGGAUAUUUCUGGGAAUUAACCUUGAUUGAGACUGCAUCUAUGAUAUCUAAGAUAUACAGGACAAGAAUAAUGCACUGGAUGUGUAUAUGUGUUGAAUCAAUUAUACAGACGCAAACUGGAGAACGAGACAAGUGUUGCUGUGAUACUUAUUGUGGUCAUCGUGCCCGAGACCCGUAACAAUUACUCCGCAGGUCUUUUGCAGCGGGGCAACAGCCCGGCGUCGGUGGAUUCCGUUCGCGAGGCCGCAGAUUCAGACAUAUACAG